AAAAAAGUGAAGAUCGGCGGUGUGAGAAAAAUGGACAUAAAGCUAAUAAAAAAGAAUUAUAGUGAAAUAAAAAACGGAACAGCAAAGUGUAAUUUGUGCAAUAAAAUGGUAAAAACAAGUGGAAACACCACAAAUUUGACGUCACAUGUUAAAAAUAAACAUAACGAAUUUUUUUUAAAGUGUCAGCAAAAAAAGAUUUAAAAAAAUGUACAUAUCACCCAUCGGGGUACAGGAGGCAACAAAUGAUUUGUUGAACGAAAUUUCUACCUUUUCAAAGGAAACCCCGAUUUCUGAUGACAAUGCAGAGGAACAGUGUGUCGAU
Molecule: non-coding RNA, 322 nt
Organism: Drosophila bipectinata
Lineage: Eukaryota; Metazoa; Arthropoda; Insecta; Diptera; Drosophilidae
Source: RefSeq, a predicted model, not a curated record